This 134-nucleotide ribosomal RNA is filed under the name Listeria monocytogenes. Its description in RNAcentral is "partial 16S ribosomal RNA". It matches the Rfam family "Bacterial small subunit ribosomal RNA", at positions 1399 to 1533 of the family's 1533-position model. The record is from RNAcentral. Lineage: Bacteria; Bacillati; Bacillota; Bacilli; Caryophanales; Listeriaceae.
ACACCAUGGGAGUCUAUUGCACCAGAAGUAGGUAGCCUAACGCAAGAGGGCGCUUACCACGGUGUGGUCGAUGACUGGGGUGAAGUCGUAACAAGGUAGCCGUAGGGGAACCUGCGGCUGGAUCACCUCCUUAA